This 64-nucleotide transfer RNA is filed under the name Pseudolycoriella sp. XQM-2020. RNAcentral's name for it is "tRNA-Ala". Lineage: Eukaryota; Metazoa; Arthropoda; Insecta; Diptera; Sciaridae. The record is from RNAcentral.
AAAAAUAUAGUUUAAAAAAAAUUAUUGAUUUGCAUUCAAUAGAUAUUAAAUUUAAUUAUUUUUA